CCUACGGGAGGCAGCAGUGAGGAAUAUUGGUCAAUGGACGAGAGUCUGAACCAGCCAAGUAGCGUGAAGGAUGACUGCCCUACGGGUUGUAAACUUCUUUUAUAAAGGAAUAAAGUGAGGCACGUGUGCCUCUUUGUAUGUACUUUAUGAAUAAGCAUCGGCUAACUCCGUGCCAGCAGCCGCGGUAAUACGGAGGAUCCGAGCGUUAUCCGGAUUUAUUGGGUUUAAAGGGUGCGUAGAUGGGUUGUUAAGUCAGUUGUGAAAGUUUGCGGCUCAACCGUAAAAUUGCAAUUGAUACUGGCGGUCUUGAGUACAGUUGAGGUAGGCGGAAUGCGUGGUGUAGCGGUGAAAUGCUUAGAUAUCACGAAGAACUCCGAUUGCGAAGGCAGCUUACUAAACUGCCACUGACAUUGAUGCUCGAAAGUGUGGGUAUCAAACAGGAUUAGAUACCCGAGUAGUC
RNAcentral lists this ribosomal RNA (460 nucleotides) under uncultured bacterium. RNAcentral describes it as "partial 16S ribosomal RNA". It matches the Rfam family "Bacterial small subunit ribosomal RNA", at positions 338 to 795 of the family's 1533-position model. The record is from RNAcentral.